Molecule: long non-coding RNA, 2026 nt
Organism: Neofelis nebulosa (Clouded leopard)
Lineage: Eukaryota; Metazoa; Chordata; Mammalia; Carnivora; Felidae
Exons: 4
Source: RefSeq, a predicted model, not a curated record
AAAUUACUAGUGUCUCUGAGUCUUACUGUGCUCAUCUGUAAAAUGGAAUUAUGAUGGAUAUGGAAUUAAAUGGAAUAAUGGAACACAUUAAUUUUAAUGUGUUACUUGGGCUCUGCCACAGUACUCAGAUAGUCGGUCAAGUAUAUUCUAGAUGUUUCUGUGAACAGGUAUUUUUUCAAGGUAAGAUUAACAUUUAAAUCAGUGGACUUCAAGUGAGGUAGAUUGCUCUCCAUGAUGUGGGUAGGGCUCAUACAAUCAGUUGAAGGACCUAAUAGAAAAAGACGGACAUCCCCUGAAUAAGAAGGAAUUCUGCCAGCAGAGUGCCUGUGGAUGUGAGCUGCAAUCUUUCCCUUGGGUGUCCAGUCUGCCAGCCCACCCUCCAGAUUUUGGACUUGCCAACCUCCACAAUCAUAGCCACGUACAAGACAGAUGGAGGACAAAGCCACCUAGAAGAUACUCGGAGGACAACCCUACCAAGUGAGAGAGCAGAGCCAAGCCCCAGGAAACAGACUAGACCCAUAGAGGAAAUCUUGCAGAAAAAAUGUAAAGAUGACAGAAAAGGUGCAGCUUAAUUGGAUGGACAAGUCAAAAAUCAUAUGACUAAGCAGAAAACCUGGGAAAUGUACCAUAUUACCAGACAAGAGCCUGUGGUAUAUUUUCUCUAGUCUGGACACUGUUCCAGGAACCACAGGAGAGAUGCAUCCUUGCAGAAGCCUUGGCAUUUGUCAAAAAAUGAGCAGUGUGGGGCAAUAGAGCCAGGCACCUGCAGGAGCCCAGGAAGUACUGGAUGGCAGCUGAUGGAUGGCCCCGAUGACUUUGGAAGCUCGGAUAUCUGUGCUGACUGCGUGCAGUGUCUCCUGUCUGGGGAUGAAGUGAGAGGACUCGUCAAUGAAAAAGCACAGCUGGCUCUGAGGUGACAUUUUCUAAAGCAGCCUUGGCAUACAACUACAUUUACCUGCCUUGGUUUACAGAAGGAAACGAGGCUGCUUCUACCCCACUUCCCUCAACGCAUCGUAGGUCUUGAGUCUUAUGUGAAUUGAUGUCUGGACUGACACAUUUUUGGGUAGAGCAUCCCCAACACACCAGCAGAUGGCUGGCACACCUGUUUUCCUGAGUCUUGGUUCAAAACACAAUUCAGCAUUUCACUUGUUCAGGAUUUCUGUGUCACAUUUUGCACCUUUCCUAGAGACUGUGCAGAAAGAUAAACUGUUUGUGAACACAAAUUAUUGUCAUUUUAAAAUAAUAACUUAUAUUAGUGUUUUUCACAUUUUUCACAUGACAGCUGUCUUAACUUGGGUCCUUAGAAACAAAACCUGAGCUAGGGAUUUUGUGCAAGUGAUGUAUGGCAGAGGGACUUGAUCUCAGAAGGAACCUGCAUGGGAACAAAGAGAGCGAGAUGGACAGGGGAAAAGUCAGGCAUGGAUAUAGGCUCCAGUGAACUCUAGAUUGGCUUCAUCUGGCUUGAAAUUUCUGAAACACAAAAUGUACCAUGUAGCUGCUCCCCUUGAGGUCAGGAGCUCAUCUUUUCUACUCACAUAUUGGUCAGUCAUCAUCAUUUCCUGGAGGGAGGGGAAAACCUCCAGGCAUUUCCAGGGGGCUCCCCAGAGGGCAGUUCUCCUGCAAAGGGCAUCACUGCAAACUAUUAGCAGCCACAGUCAAAGCAACUGGAAGACAGGUGCACCAUUGCUCAAUGGGGUCUGAGUGGGAACGCACAGCACCACCACAGCCCAUUAUAUGUAGGUAAUUACUUUGCAUUGUAACUUAUACACAUAGAUACACAAAUAGAGCUAUAUACUAAAAAAAAAAAAGUUUCCCAAAUAAUGCUUAUUUAUCUACCUGUGGGUCGAUGUGAAUAAUUUAAGUGAUUUUUAUUUUAUUCUAGUCUAUUUUAAUUCAUAAAAAAAAUCAGUAGUCAUGGCUCACUAUUAGGUGGCAACCUGCAGUUUGUAAAAGCUUGAUUUGUAGCUAAAUACUCUUUAAAAGCCAAUCAUUUUUAAGUGAUUUAAUUAGAUUUAUAGUGAUACUU